Molecule: ribosomal RNA, 246 nt
Filed under: uncultured bacterium
Lineage: Bacteria
Description: partial 16S ribosomal RNA
Rfam family: Bacterial small subunit ribosomal RNA
Source: RNAcentral
GAUCCUGGCUCAGGAUUAACGCUGGCGGCGUGCAUAACACAUGCAAGUCGAACGAUGAAACUUAGUAGACUUCUUCGGAAAGACACUAAGCGGAUUAGUGGCGAACGGGUGAGUAACGCGUGAGUAACCUGCCUUACACAAGGGGAUAGCCUUUGGAAACGAAGAAUAAUACCCUAUAAAACCAUAAAAGCACAUGCUAGAAUGGUCAAAGUGAUAGCGGUGUAAGAUGGACUUGCGUCUGAUUAG